GUAGGGUGCAAGCGUUAUCCGGAAUCAUUGGGCGUAAAGAGCUCGUAGGCGGUUCAGCAAGUCGGCUGUGAAAUCCCGAGGCUUAACCUCGGAACUGCAGUCGAUACUGCUGUGACUAGAGUCCGGUAGAGGAGAAUGGAAUUCCCGGUGUAGCGGUGAAAUGCGCAGAUAUCGGGAGGAACACCAGUAGCGAAGGCGGUUCUCUGGGCCGGUACUGACGCUGAGGAGUGAAAGCGUGGGGUAGCAAACAGGAUUAGAUACCCUGGUAGUCCACGCCGUAAACGUUGGACACUAGGUGUGGCGUUCCGACCAACGGGUGCCGUGCCGAAGCUAACGCAUUAAGUGUCCCCGCCUGGGAGUACGGCCGCAAGGCUA
This 375-nucleotide ribosomal RNA is filed under the name uncultured organism. RNAcentral describes it as "partial 16S ribosomal RNA". It matches the Rfam family "Bacterial small subunit ribosomal RNA", at positions 527 to 896 of the family's 1533-position model. The record is from RNAcentral.